AAGAACACUUAGCUAACUAACAGCGCCGCAUGCUGUCCCUUGUCUUUUGGCAAAUAAAAGUUUAUGUUCAAGACGUUAAUUUGCCUGUUCAGUUUCUAUCUUAAGAGACCACUGAGAGCAGAAGAGGAGACUAAUGCUGGAAGAUCAUCGACUGGAUCACAGAAAACCAACACAAAGCUACCACGAGUUAGCAGCUAGCUUUAAAUGCCGGGGCCUGCCUACGGUCAUCACGACGCUGUGAUUAUCAGAAGAUUUUAAGCAACCAUGCCGGCUGCCUUAACAGUUGUUAAAUCACUGAAUCCUCCAUCUGAUCAGUUGGUUGAGCGCGUGCCUGCAGUUGAUUCACAUCAGCCUGAUCCUUAUCCAGAGGAUCAUUCUUUCUUUUAUUGAGUCAAGAAUAUUGUUACAUAUGAGUGUGUUCUGUUUGUAAGUGAACAUUUAUAUUUUAAUAGAGCUUGUUGCUGUUGAAUAUAUUACACAUAUGCUCAUAGUGAUCAAUAUUUAUCAAUGCUUAUUAAACACGUAAUCAAUAGCUAAGGUUAAUUACAUGAUAUCUAUAUAUUCAAACACUUCUGAAAUAUAUGUUUGUAUGCUUUUGAACUGUGUAUUGUGUGUACCAAAUUAAAGGUAUGUUAUGUUUAUGAUUAUAUUUGCUUUUGUUUCAAGAUUUGCUUUUGCUUUAGUAGUUCAGUUUCUUAGCAUGCUGUUAUAAAGAUGAUUUACUUACAUAAUCAUUUUCAAAGUGUUGUAAAUGUGAUGUGUCCCUGUUUCGGUGAGGCCCUGAAGAUACAUUGAGAAAUAUGUUGCAAACAGCAUAUGGAACAGGAUGCCAAUACUGACCACAAACAGUCAGAUAAGGAGACUAAACUUGAUACACGGGUAUGAUUAGACUUGUUUGUUAGAAUAUUGUGCAAUUUUGAGAUGUGCUAAUAUUCUUGUGGUAUACCCGCGUGAUGAGACUUGCUGACAGUCUUUCAGUUUGCAGUUUUCUGGCCCAAAACAAUUUCCUAUCAGUUUAGGCACAGGUGUCACUUUAGGAGAAAGAGGAAGCAAGAACACUCCAUGGCACGUGUGGGCAGGACCAAAGCCACGAAGAAGAGGGAUGGAGACCACUCAGAUGAAGGGCAACGCCUAAGAUUAGCAUGAAUCAUUGUAUUAGUAUAGGAAGACAGGAGUAUAAAAACUUGUGUGACUGUUACCUAAUUAGCAUGGAUCAGGCCAACUGGAUUGGUAAAGGUAAAUGUAGACCUAAAUGUAAAUUUGUUGGGUCAACAUGAUGAAUUUGUGUUACUGUUACCUAAUUACCAUGAUUCAGGCCAACUAGAUUUG
Thalassophryne amazonica is the source of this 1329-nucleotide long non-coding RNA. RefSeq lists it as uncharacterized. Lineage: Eukaryota; Metazoa; Chordata; Actinopteri; Batrachoidiformes; Batrachoididae. The record is from RefSeq and is a predicted model, not a curated record. The transcript is spliced from 3 exons.